Molecule: ribosomal RNA, 434 nt
Filed under: uncultured Lachnospiraceae bacterium
Lineage: Bacteria; Bacillati; Bacillota; Clostridia; Lachnospirales; Lachnospiraceae
Description: bacterial SSU rRNA
Rfam family: Bacterial small subunit ribosomal RNA
Source: RNAcentral
ACGGGAGGCAGCAGUGGGGAAUAUUGCACAAUGGGGGAAACCCUGAUGCAGCGACGCCGCGUGAGCGAAGAAGUAUUUCGGUAUGUAAAGCUCUAUCAGCAGGGAAGAAAAUGACGGUACCUGACUAAGAAGCCCCGGCUAACUACGUGCCAGCAGCCGCGGUAAUACGUAGGGGGCAAGCGUUAUCCGGAUUUACUGGGUGUAAAGGGAGCGCAGGCGGUCUUGCAAGUCUGAUGUGAAAGCCCGGGGCUCAACCCCGGGACUGCAUUGGAAACUGUGAGACUAGAGUGUCGGAGGGGCAAGUGGAAUUCCUAGUGUAGCGGUGAAAUGCGUAGAUAUUAGGAGGAACACCAGUGGCGAAGGCGGCUUGCUGGACGACAACUGACGCUGAGGCGCGAAAGCGUGGGGAGCAAACAGGAUUAGAUACCCUGGUA